GGGGAGAUACCAAAGCGGUCAACUGGGGCAGACUGUAAAUCUGUUGGCUAAGCCUUCGGAGGUUCGAAUCCUCCUCUCCCCA
Molecule: transfer RNA, 82 nt
Filed under: Bacteroidota bacterium
Lineage: Bacteria; Pseudomonadati; Bacteroidota
Description: Bacteroidetes bacterium (cold seep metagenome) tRNA-Tyr
Rfam family: tRNA
About the family: Transfer RNA (tRNA) molecules are approximately 80 nucleotides in length. Their secondary structure includes four short double-helical elements and three loops (D, anti-codon, and T loops).
Source: RNAcentral